This 277-nucleotide long non-coding RNA is filed under the name Daucus carota (carrot). RNAcentral describes it as "long non-coding RNA (DCAR_LNC001466)". Lineage: Eukaryota; Viridiplantae; Streptophyta; Magnoliopsida; Apiales; Apiaceae. The record is from RNAcentral.
AUAAUAUACUUCGAUUAAUUAUCAUGUCCCUCUCAAAACAUGCCUAGUAAAAUUCCAAAGGCAAGACAAAGAAGAUAACCUGGUCUACCAAUUGUAGAGGCCCACAAGUGAUCCAGGAAGAACCCCAUAGGCCAACGAGUGAUCAAGGAAGAACCCCAUCUUAAUAAAUAAUAAGUGAUGAAUCAUGUAAUAACUCAAAGAAUUUAGAAUCCCCACAUCAUAUUACUAUCGUCGAUAUCUUGUAUACUAUUUCCCGAAGCCAAACCAUUUUCCUAUG